GACGAAUGCUGGCGGCGUGCUUAACACAUGCAAGUCGAACGGUGAAGGAGAGCUUGCUCUCUGGAUCAGUGGCGAACGGGUGAGUAACACGUGGGUAACCUGCCCCUCACUUCGGAAUAACCAUCCGAAAGGAUGGCUAAUACCGGUUGUGGAAACUUGGAGGCAUCUCCGGGUUUGGAAAGAUUUUCGGUGAGGGAUGGACCCGCGGCCUAUCAGCUUGUUGGUGAGGUAAUGGCUGGCCAAGGCGAAGACGGGUAGCCGGCCUGAGAGGGCGACCGGCCACACUGGGGCUGAGAUACGGCCCAGACUCCUACGGGAGGCAGCAGUGGGGAAUAUUGCACAAUGGGCGAAAGCCUGAUGCAGCGACGCCGCGUGAGGGAUGAAGGCCUUCGGGUUGUAAACCUCUUUCAGUAGGGACGAAGCGCAAGUGAUGGUACCUACAGAAGAAGCACCGGCUAACUACGUGCCAGCCGCCGCAGUAA
RNAcentral lists this ribosomal RNA (482 nucleotides) under uncultured bacterium. RNAcentral describes it as "partial 16S ribosomal RNA". It matches the Rfam family "Bacterial small subunit ribosomal RNA", at positions 28 to 523 of the family's 1533-position model. The record is from RNAcentral.